UACGUAGGGGGCAAGCGUUGUCCGGAUUUAUUGGGCGUAAAGAGCGUGUAGGCGGCUUUGCAAGUCCGUUGUGAAAACUCGAGGCUCAACCUCGAGACGCCGGUGGAAACUGCAAAGCUAGAGUCCGGAAGUGGAGAGUGGAAUUCCUGGUGUAGCGGUGAAAUGCGCAGAUAUCAGGAAGAACACCCGUGGCGAAGGCGGCUCUCUGGGACGGUACUGACGCUGAGACGCGAAAGCGUGGGGAGCGAACAGG
This 253-nucleotide ribosomal RNA is filed under the name uncultured bacterium. RNAcentral describes it as "partial 16S ribosomal RNA". It matches the Rfam family "Bacterial small subunit ribosomal RNA", at positions 524 to 776 of the family's 1533-position model. The record is from RNAcentral.